GGCAGUCUGGUUUGCACAGUCUAGCCGUCGACUGGUUUACUGGACAGCUGUACUGGACGAGUGUUACCCAGAAAGCCAUCCUCACCGGUGCAGCUGAUGGCAGUGCUGUAGGGACGGUCAUGUCCAAAGAAAUGGACCCGAGAGAGAUGGUCCUCAGCCCAACGGAGAGGUACAAACUGAUUUUUACUGUAUAAGCACAGAUUUGAGGAGCACAGUUAUAUGUCUGAUUGUUUUUCCCCCUGUAGUUUCAUAUUUUGGAUUAAUAAAGGAGCGAAUGACGAGCUGACCAUCGAGAGGGCGGAGAUGGACGGUCUGAACCGGACUACACUGGUUUUCAUCACUGCACAGCUCCCGAGGAGUCUUACGAUGGAUGUGGCGGCGCGCCGGCUGUAUUGGAUCAGUGUUUACAAAGCGGUGUGUUUCGUCAAAAACCUGAGUUUAUUGAUUGUGUGUUUAUUUCGUUUUUAUCAUUGUUAUUGGUAUUCCAGUCAAUUGAGAGCAUCAGGACAGACGGCACUGGACGGCACACCUUCUGGGAUUUCUUUCAAGGACGUCCUGCUCAGACCCUGGCUGUGUUUAACGGCUGGUUUUACUUGGCUGAUGAGAAAAAACUCUGGCAGGCUACUCAAAAUAGAUCUUCUGACACACUAAAUGGCUUCAUCUUAAAAGCCUCGCUUCCUGUCUUGAACAUCUACCAUGUGCUUCAGCAGCCCAGAGGUUUUGCUCCGUGUAAAGACUCGGGCUGCCAGCUGUGUUUGCCGUCCAAGAAAACUCCUGCUGGAUUCACCUGUCUGUGUCCUGAGGGAGCGCUGCCCAUGUCUUGGGGAGCUUGUGAAAAUUUUAAGGUCGCCUAUGCAACAGCCACAGCUGUAUACAGUUUGGAGUUUGCAGGAGAGACUCCUGUGAAAACUGAACUCUUUACUUCAGAUGAAGACAUCCAGUCGUUUGACAUGUACUGGAGGAGAGGAUGUGUGGUGUGGUCUAAUGGGACGGGCCACGUGAAGACUAACAUACAGUCCCAGGACUUGUCGGAGUACAUCCUGACUUUAAAACCUGCCUGCAUCGUCAGAGUUGACCAGAGGACUGGGAAUCUGUAUUGGCUGGCCUGUGAUGAACUUUCCAUUGGGGUUUCUACCAUUGGCCCCCUCGACCAGAGUAUCUCCAGACAGCUGUAUCAAACCAGAACCGCAAUCCUAGACCUCUUUGUGGACUGGCAGAGAGGAAAGCUGUACUGGCUGGAGGGAAAGCAGGUCAUGAGGAUGAAACUGGGUCUGAUUGGUGGAAAUGUCGAAACUGCCUUCAGCUUCGAGGAGGAUGGAGUCGACCGCGUUGUGUUUGAUCAUAAAGCGAAUGGCUUCCUUUGGAGCAUGGAGUCUUACUUGCAGGUUAUGAGUCUACUGAAGAUGAGAAGGUACUCUGCUGGUAAAGACUGGGUCGUUCCUGGCUCCAUCAUGGCUGCUUAUGAACCCUACACGGUGACCUUGUUCAAUAACAUCCUGACCGUGUGGAAUCGCAAAGAUCGAGCUCGCGUCUCUGGAGUGGCGGUAGAGAAUGGAGUUGUUAGCUUAUCUGUAGCCCUUAGGGAAGUCCAACAAGAUACAACAGCGGAAGAUGUGCGUCCUACCGAGGUGACUUGCAAAAGUCCCCUAGUCAUUUGUCAAGGUUCAGCUGUUUGUAUCAGCCGAUCUCAGCAGUGUGAUGGGAACAGAGACUGUCCGGAUGGAUCUGAUGAGGCCUCGUGUGUGCACAUGUGUGCAAAGCCAGGUAUACUUUGACAUGCAUGCAUGCAUGGUUCACUCAAAUCCUUUAGUAAAAGUCAUUUGUUAAACUUAAUGUUGCUUGAAUCCUCGAUGACUUUCCUUUCAAGUUUUCUAAAUGCUUGAGACGUGUUCCUUCAGGUGACUUCCUGUGUGCGGACAGGAGGAAGUGUGUGGCGAGGGAUCUGGUGUGUGACGGUCGCUCUCACUGCACUGACGGCUCAGAUGAGACGGGAUGUCCCACCACUGCUCCUGAAACCGUCUCCACAGCAUUAAAGUGUCGUGUGGGCUCUAAACCCUGUGAGGACGGCCGUGAGUGUGUGCUGUACAGUCAUGUGUGUGAUGGAGAGAUGGACUGUAAAGAUGGAUCAGAUGAACACGGCUGUGAAUAUCGGUGUAAAGCAGGUAAAGCUCAUGAAGUGAACACAUAACUGUCUGGUGUAACUCAGGCGAGUGUCACUGACGAUGUUUCCUCGUAGAUCAGUUCCAGUGCGCUCAUGGGAGGAUGUGUAUCGACAGAAAGCAGGUGUGUGACGGCACACCUCAGUGUCAGGAUCGCUCUGAUGAACUGGACUGUUUCAGUCGCUCACACGAAUGCAGACAUCAGUGUGAUAAUAAAACUCGCUGCAUCCCAGAGAGCUUCCUCUGUGAUGGAGAGAAAGACUGCGUGGACGCCACUGAUGAACACGACUGCUGUGAGUUUUUGAAGAUGGAGUUUUUAUUUUUAUGAGUUUUGAGGUUUUUGCCUAAUCUAUGAUUAUAGAUUCUAUUUGAAUCUAUAAUUUUUCCAAACACCUUUUGAUGAGUGAGUUU
Molecule: long non-coding RNA, 2570 nt
Filed under: Carassius auratus (goldfish)
Lineage: Eukaryota; Metazoa; Chordata; Actinopteri; Cypriniformes; Cyprinidae
Description: lncRNA (ENSCARG00000001806.1)
Source: RNAcentral